AUUGAACGCUGGCGGCAUGCCUUACACAUGCAAGUCGAACGGCAGCACGGGUGCUUGCACCUGGUGGCGAGUGGCGAACGGGUGAGUAAUACAUCGGAACAUGUCCUGUAGUGGGGGAUAGCCCGGCGAAAGCCGGAUUAAUACCGCAUACGAUCUACGGAUGAAAGCGGGGGACCUUCGGGCCUCGCGCUAUGGGGUUGGCCGAUGGCUGAUUAGCUAGUUGGGGGGGUAAAGGCCUCCCAAGGCGACGAUAAGUAGCUGGUCUGAGAGGCCGACCAGCCACACUGGGACUGAGAAACGGCCCAGACUCCUACGGGAGGCAGCAGUGGGGAAUUUUGGACAAUGGGCGAAAGCCUGAUCCAGCAAUGCCGCGUGUGUGAAGAAGGCCUUCGGGUUGUAAAGCACUUUUGUCCGGAAAGAAAUCCUUGGCCCUAAUACGGUCGGGGGAUGACGGUACCGGAAGAAUAAGCACCGGCUAACUACGUG
This 486-nucleotide ribosomal RNA is filed under the name uncultured bacterium. RNAcentral's name for it is "partial 16S ribosomal RNA". It matches the Rfam family "Bacterial small subunit ribosomal RNA", at positions 30 to 507 of the family's 1533-position model. The record is from RNAcentral.